Long non-coding RNA from Cebus imitator (Panamanian white-faced capuchin), 2545 nucleotides. The record is from Ensembl. NCBI's taxonomy places the organism in Eukaryota, Metazoa, Chordata, Mammalia, Primates, Cebidae.
GACUUUAUCAGACCUAAACAAGGAUGGGAAGAUGGAUCAGCAAGAGUUCUCCAUAGCUAUGAAACUCAUCAAACUGAAGCUUCAAGGCCAGCAGUUGCCUGUGGUUCUCCCUCCUAUUAUGAAGCAACCCCCUUUGUUUUCUCCAUUAAUUUCUGCUCGUUUUGGAAUGGGAAGCAUGCCCAAUCUGUCCAUUCCUCAGCCAUUGCCUCCAGCUGCACCUAUAACAUCAUUGUCUUCUGCGACUUCAGGGACCAACCUUCCUCCUUUAAUGAUGCCCACUCCCCUAGUGCCUUCUGUUAGCACAUCAUCAUUACCAAAUGGAACCGCCAGUCUCAUUCAGCCUUUAUCCAUUCCUUAUUCUUCUUCAACAUUGCCUCAUGGGUCAUCUUAUAGUCUGAUGAUGGGAGGAUUUGGAGGUGCUAGUAUACAGAAAGCCCAGUCUCUGAUUGAUUUAGGAUCUAGUAGCUCAACUUCCUCGACUGCUUCACUCUCAGGGAACUCACCCAAGACUGGGACCUCAGAGUGGGCAGUUCCUCAGCCUUCAAGAUUAAAAUAUCGGCAAAAAUUCAAUAGUCUUGACAAAAGCAUGAGUGGAUAUCUCUCAGGUAAGCAGCAUACAGUGCCGAAGAGCGUGAAAAGGAGCCUUUUAUGUGGACUUCCAUUAAAGAACUCUCAUUUGAAUUUAUAUUGUGUAGCUCAUCUGACAUUUUAACAUCCAAAAAAUUUAGCCAGCAUUUGAUAAAUACAAAUACCUUAAGUUGUAUAGGAUUUAAAGAUCGAUUCAACUUGAUUACUUUCUUCAAAGUUUUUACUCAAGUCAGGCACUCAGAUAUACCCCCAGCUUUUUGGCAAAAGACCUGUUCUUUAAGAAGAUCAAACCUCAUCCUCUACGGUUUGCAGCGAAUGGAGAGCCCUGGGUCACAAGGGAGAGUGUGUGGAACUUAGCCUCAGCUCGCUUUUCCUGAGAAUCCUCCUCUGCAUUCGGCUUUUUCUCUGCUUGCCCUUACUAUUAUAAAACCUCAGGUGAGCACUGCUCACCAUUCAAUGCUUUAACCCAAAUGUGACUGUAAAACUUGGCUUUAGUUUGCUAUAAAACAUUUGAGUCCAGGCUAGAACAUCAUCCAAACUACUAAUUGAGAACAGUGAAGGGGACAUAAACAGAGGGUAAUAGGCAAGUAGAGUUCCUACCUUCUAACUUGCCCACUCCUUCACUCAGCAAGAAAUUAUGAUUUAGGACCGAGUAAAAUAAGUGUUUAAAAAUAAUAGAGCUUUAAGUGCUAAGGAGCAUAGAGUGGGAGAUAUUAAAGAUGAAGAGUUCAGAUGAGAUAUCUUACAGGAAGGGAGCAUUUAAGCUCCAUAAAAACGUUAGGAUUUGGACAGAUUGAAUGUGAGGGCAUUUGAUGGUGACAAGAAAUUAAGAGGGAAAAGUACAUGGCCUAUUUGGAGAUUGAAAGUAUGAAAUAGGAGUCUAGGGUCUAUAGUUGUACAGAGAGGCAAGGGAACAGGAAGUAAGACUUUUGGAAUUGAUUAGACAAGCAAAAAUAUAUAGUAUUUUAUUUAAAGAUACAUACCUAUGUGUUAACUAUUUUUUAAAGCAAGAGAAUUACGCAUGCAAAAUUCAGGGUAGUGGUUACCUCUUGUGGAAGCAUGUGGAUAAAGUUAAGGAACACAGAUCGAUUCAAGGCAUUUAUUAGUAAUCUAGUUCUUAAGAUGGGUGGUAGGUUCAUGGGUGACUUAUACUUCUUAGCUUAUAUAUGCGCUUUGUAUUUUUACAUGUAUUUCAUGUUACAUAACUAAGAUUUUCUGUAAUUUUAUCAAAUUACAUGAAACAGUGCUUUUUUUUGACAUUUUUUUACAUUUUAAUGUCUCUAAAAUUAGAAUGUGUGCUACAAUUAGUGAUGUCUUAGCACUGUGUCAUGGUUUUAUUAGCUUCUUUUACAUAAAAUGAUAUAGCCAGUGGGAUCUUAGAUUCGGUGAAAUAUGGUAUUGAACUAUACUAGAGAUUAAUGUAAAGUCAUAAUUGCUAUUCUUUGAAAAAAUGAACUUCUUUGUACCCUACAUUUUGCAUUUUAAAAGUUUCUUUUGGCCAGGUGUGGUGGCUCACACCUGUAAUCCCGGCAUUUUGGGAGGCUGAGACAGGCAGAUCAUGAGGCCAGUAGAUCGAGACCAUCCUGGCCAACAUGGUGAAACCCCAUCUCUACUAAAAAUACAAAAUUAGCUGGGCUUGGUGGCACGUGCCUGUAACUCCCAGCCAUUUGGGAGGCUGAGGCAGGAGAAUCACUUGAACCCAGGUGGUGGAGGUUAUAGUUAACCAAGAUUGCAUAACUGCACUUCAGCCUGGCAACAGAGCUAGACUCUGUCUCAGAAAAAAGUUUCUUUUUGCUAAGCACAGUGACAUGUACCUGUAGUCCCAGCUACUUGGGAGGCUGUGGCAGGAGGAUUGCUUGAGCCCAGCAGUCCAGCCUGGGCAACACAGUGAGACCCACAUCUGUAUAAGAUAAACGAGUAAACAGAAGUACCCAUGAGUAAUAGCAUGUGCUUGUAG